RNAcentral lists this ribosomal RNA (496 nucleotides) under uncultured bacterium. RNAcentral describes it as "partial 16S ribosomal RNA". It matches the Rfam family "Bacterial small subunit ribosomal RNA", at positions 28 to 507 of the family's 1533-position model. The record is from RNAcentral.
GAUGAACGCUGGCGGCGUGCCUAAUACAUGCAAGUCGAGCGAACAGACGAGGAGCUUGCUCCUCUGACGUUAGCGGCGGACGGGUGAGUAACACGUGGAUAACCUACCUAUAAGACUGGGAUAACUUCGGGAAACCGGAGCUAAUACCGGAUAAUAUAUUGAACCGCAUGGUUCAAUAGUGAAAGACGGUUUUGCUGUCACUUAUAGAUGGAUCCGCGCCGCAUUAGCUAGUUGGUAAGGUAACGGCUUACCAAGGCAACGAUGCGUAGCCGACCUGAGAGGGUGAUCGGCCACACUGGAACUGAGACACGGUCCAGACUCCUACGGGAGGCAGCAGUAGGGAAUCUUCCGCAAUGGGCGAAAGCUUGACGGAGCAACGCCGCGUGAGUGAUGAGGUCUUCGGAUCGUAAAACUCUGUUAUUAGGGAAGAACAAAUGUGUAAGUAACUAUGCACGUCUUGACGGUACCUAAUCAGAAAGCCACGGCUAACUACGUG